This is a long non-coding RNA of Lates calcarifer (barramundi perch), 2919 nucleotides long. RefSeq lists it as uncharacterized. NCBI's taxonomy places the organism in Eukaryota, Metazoa, Chordata, Actinopteri, Centropomidae. The record is from RefSeq and is a predicted model, not a curated record. The transcript has 10 exons.
AUAUAUAUAUAUAAUGACAUGUAUUAUAUAUAUAUAUAUAAUAUGCAUCACACAUACUAGAAACAAGUUGGGAACAUUAAAAUUUUGAAUAAACCCUAAAAACCCCAAACAUCUCAAAUCACAGUCCUGUGCUCAUGUAAUAAAAAUUCUUGUAGCAGUCUGUUGCCACAACAGCACACUGAUAAGAACACUGUGUGUACACAAACAGGUAUCUCACGCUACACGAUUCUUCACUUGGCACUAGUUCAUAAAUGAUCUUUGCACUGCUUCAUAUAAACAAACGCUGGGGGAAGAUGACACAUUUUCAUGUGACUUUUGGUGUGCCAGUUGAGUUUAGGCAGAACAACAGUUCCCCGUAUUGCUGCCUGUUUACUAGAUUUUGCAGAAAAAGAACAAGAUGACCUAAUACUGAAAUAAAGGGAUAUAACAGCUGGAAUGAAACAUCUCAGUUUUCUAAUCUAGUCUUCUUUUCUAGUUCAAGUCUAGUUUCUCAAAUAUGUGUAUUUGCAUGUUUAUCUGUAUACAAUUUAAGAAAUCUGAUUUAAUAAGAAUUGAUUGUUGGUGGCAGGUCUUUAACCAGUUUGUAUUGGGUAUUUUGAGAAAGUAAUUUCUGGAAUGUACCAUUAAGUCGUUUACUAGCUAAAUACCUGUCAUCAAACAUCCCACCUGAAGUAAUCUUGUACUAAUGUUACACAACAAUCUAUGUUAGUCCGUCACUCAUCAUGAAAAACGAAUGACUAACUGUUUACUGGAAGGGUCAGUUAUUUUGGUUCUUGUAAGUCCUUCGUCCUAGGUGAUAAAAGGGGAAACUCCCAACGGGCGGUUUGUAGGGACACAGCUGAAGGGGCAACACUCACGAUCAAUGAGUACACCCGGCCUGAACAACGUGCCCGCUCCUCAGCGCCACAUUUCAUAAAAACGGCGUUGAGAUAACGACAACUCGCUGGAUGAGGCUUGUGUGGCCACCCGGAAGCGACACGAGAAUGUGGGUGGGACAGGAAGUCCCCGCAGAUAAGCGGUCCGGCGGGAAACUUGGAGAUGUUGAGAAGCUCUUCUUACAGAACAGACAGCUGUGUGGCUUCUCCCCGGUGUGUGUCCUGAUGUGCAUGUUGAGGUCGGAGGAGCACCUGAACCUCCUCUCGCAGUAGGAGCAGGGAUAAGGUCGUUCGCCUGUGUGGAUCCGUUUGUGGAGGAGCAGCUCACCGGAGGACCUGUGAUGAGACCAUGAUUGUGAAAACAUUGCUGUCACUCACCCCUGUGUAUCCUGGUGGGCGGAUUCGUUCUAGUCUCAUCUAAUACCCACUGACUCACUUUCGAUCGCAGUCGGAGAAGCAGUUUGCCCCGUUGCUUUGGACUGAGCAGGUCAGGAACUGUGGCCGUCACCAGUGAUACAAACUCAUCCAGCUUUUCAUAAUCAAGAACGUGUCUCUGCUGAGCCACCUGCCACAUCGCUGCAGAGAGCAGCCGCAGAGGAGGGAUCAGCAGCCUUAGUGACGACAAUGGUGUCUCCAUUUAAUCCACAACAUCCGUGGAUCAGAGAGAGUCUUUGUACAAUGAAGAAGUUCUUUGAGACCAGGACAGAGGCCUCCAGGUGUCACCACGUUGUCCAUGAUCGCAGAGACAUGGUCCAUGAUCGGAGAGACAUUGUUGAGGAUGAGGGAGACAUUGUCCACGAUCAAAGACAUUGUCCACGAUCGCAGAGACCUUGUCAAAGAUGAGAGAGACGUUGUCCAUGAUCAGAGACAUUGUCCCAUGCUUCGUAGAGACCUUGCGAUAGAAUCGGCGGAGACGGGGGUCACCGAUUUGACGGCAUUGCCCGCGAUCAUGGAGACGUUGUCAAUGAUCACUGAGACACCGUCUAUGAUCUCAGAGACAUCGUCCACGAUCACAAAGACAUAGUCCAUGAUUGCAGAGACGUUGUCCAUAAUCUCAGAGACAUUGUCCGCGAUCACAGAGACGUAGUCCACGAUCACAGAGACUCUUCGUACAGUGAAGAAGUUCUUUGAGACCAGGACAGAAGCCUCCAGGUGUCACCACGUUGUCCAUGAUCGCAGAGACAUGGUCCAUGAUCGGAGAGACAUUGUUGAGGAUGAGGGAGACAUUGUCCACGAUUGCAGAGACCUUGUCAAAGAUGAGAGAGACGUUGUCCAUGAUCAGAGACAUUGUCCCAUGCUUCGUAGAGACCUUGCGAUAGAAUCGGCGGAGACGGGGGUCACCGAUUUGACGGCAUUGCCCGCGAUCAUGGAGACGUUGUCAAUGAUCACUGAGACACCGUCUAUGAUCUCAGAGACAUCGUCCACGAUCACAAAGACAUAGUCCAUGAUUGCAGAGACGUUGUCCAUAAUCUCAGAGACAUUGUCCGCGAUCACAGAGACGUAGUCCACGAUCACAGAGACUCUUCGUACAAUGAAGAAGUUCUUUGAGACCAGGACAGAAGCCUCCAGCUCCUUUCACAAAAACAACAGGAUCCAUCAAUGGGGAAGGAAGAGAAGAUGACAGCAGCUGAAGACCUGAAGUGGAUGAAAGAAACUCAAGUCAAAAGUGUUACAAAGCUGUUAAUUAGAUAGAAGACCUCCACCAUCUAACUGCUGUAAACAGUGUUGGUUUCCUGUUACUCAAGUGAAACACUUUGUUUUUCUCUAACAUCUAUAAUGUAGCCAUAUGCACAUUUUCUAAAGACUUGUGUGUUGUUAUAAAGCACCAGUGAGAACAGUCAACUGCUUAUGAUACAACUAUGUAAUUAAUAAUUGUACCACAAGCAGUUAAAUGAUCACAAAGAUGCUUAGUAGACAUGCGCACAUUUUCCAAAGAUGAACAUAACUACAUUGAUCCUAACAAGUGUUUCCUUGUGGUCAAAUGUCUGUCAUUAUCUUUGCUAUGAUUUGUUAAAUGUUGUCUGGAAUAAAAUCAUUAAAAGUU